This is a long non-coding RNA of Amphiprion ocellaris (clown anemonefish), 527 nucleotides long. NCBI's taxonomy places the organism in Eukaryota, Metazoa, Chordata, Actinopteri, Pomacentridae. The record is from Ensembl.
CUUUUCCAAACCAGACUUACCUGAGCGUCCACCUGCUUCCCCACUCUCUCAGAUACUAAUUGUGUGGGGAGGUAAACACAGCAGUCAAGUGGAGAGGACGGCGAGUCAAGCGUGAAUAUCAAUCUUCCCACAUCAGUGUCAUCAGAUGACUUUGACGGAGUUGAGGCAGGGCUCAUUAGGGCGCCACGGGCUGCAAUAACAUCCAGGUGGAGGGCUCUGAUGUUCGCCAGGUAACAGCCGCAGGUAUAGCUGGAUAUGUUUGUGUUGAUCUCCUUGCACCUGACUUUUCUGCUCCUCCGCUUGAAGUUGUGAAAAGACCAUUGGGGAAACCACAGAAGCUGCUGCGAACACAAGACACACACAAACACACACUGCUAUAUGCUGACAGGCUGAAUGAAAUGCCAGUAGCCCAGUAAGAUUAUGAGAUAUAGUUGUAUUAGCCUAGACAAUGUAAGUUAGUCUUUAUGAACAUUGUGUGUGAUGAUAUCUCUGGAUGUAAACGUUAUGAUGACAAAGAUAAAGUUAAG